Molecule: non-coding RNA, 28 nt
Filed under: Bombyx mori (domestic silkworm)
Lineage: Eukaryota; Metazoa; Arthropoda; Insecta; Lepidoptera; Bombycidae
Source: RNAcentral
GACAUCUGGAUACUCUCUCAGCAGUUGA